Molecule: non-coding RNA, 1302 nt
Organism: Schizosaccharomyces pombe (fission yeast)
Lineage: Eukaryota; Fungi; Ascomycota; Schizosaccharomycetes; Schizosaccharomycetales; Schizosaccharomycetaceae
Source: the annotation of a GenBank genome assembly
AAUGUCGCUCAUUGGAUACAUUCUGUAACAAUAUAAAACCUUCAGUGAAUUGGAUCUUCUUCAGUGCUUACGUCUAUAACAUAGUCACCGGUUUCGUGAACUUCAGCUUCAUAGUCGGCAGCACUGUACAAAUCUCCUUUCUGCAUUAAACCGGCUUGUUCUUCAUGAGAAUUCAAUAACUCAGAAAUAGUUUUUAGGAGAUUUUCUAUCGCUUCGUUUACUAGAGAACCAAAGCUACCAUCCACUUUCCUUUCACUUAGACUAUCAAGGCAAGAUAGUAAAACGCCUUUCUCAAAAAUGGCAGACGUUUCUAAGUCGGAUUCACUUAGUGAGCUAAGCUGAAGUUUGAAAAGCUCCAAAAAGGAAGCGUAAAACUCUGGUUCAGUUUCCGCCAAUUCAUAAGACUGCAAUAGCAAACUCAACAUAUUCUUCCAAUGCUCCAAAGCACCAUAGUGGGAGAGAAUAGAGUAGCUCAGAAAGGAAAUUGAUAAUUCCGCUAAUGCAGAGAUGGGAUUGUCAUUCCACACGCUUUGGACGAGUCUUUGAAACAAAAACGAUUUAUCAAUUGCUUGCUUAGACCGUUCAGGUCCAGUGGCAGACGGCGACCAGCUUCGUCGUAAAUUGAAUUCAGCGAAAUUUAAUAGUUUAUCGUCUCGAGAGGGUUUUGAGAAUUCCGGAUCUUGUGACACAAGAUCAGCGUUGACAUACGUUGAAGUGUCUAAGUAGAAAAAUUCACCUUCAGUAGCAAAAAUUCUUUGAAGAUCUUGAACUGUAAUGAACUUCGUCAACAAGUCCCAAUCCUUUGUUGAUUCAAAGGGAUAAAAGUUUUCGUCAUAUAAUACAUCAAGCUUCUGCAAAGAAGCUGUUUCAGAUUUCGAAUCAAAGUCGAUACUAUAUUUCAUAUCUUCAUGGACCAUAGCAAAAACUCCAGAAAUUAAUCCAGCAGGGUAUGUUGGAGACCAAGUGAAAAGAUGAAUUCCACCUUUUACAUUUCGAAUACCUGGAAGCUUACUAGCUUCAUAUGAACUCUGAUCAAUGCCAACGUAAUAUGUAUUUAACCAUCCGACAAACUCUAUACUCAUUAUAUACAAAACAAAUUAUUCCAUAUCUUCAUUUAUUUUGUCUAUUAAGUUGAAUUUAAGAUCGUAGACAUUGGUCAAAGCUAAGUUUCAGGCUACUGAUUUAAGAGUUAUAGCGAUGGAUAUUAUAAAAAACACCAUAAUACAUUAAAGGUUUUUGGGUGUCAGCAAUUCUACACUACGCUAUAAUAUACAUCGUUUCGUAUCACUAAAUAUCGCCUGC